CCCUUAGACGUUCUGGGCCGCACGCGCGCUACACUGACCAGUGCAACAAGCAUCCGUCCUUGGCCGACAGGCUCGGGUAAUCUUUGAACGCUGGUCGUGAUGGGGAUAGACUUUUGCAAUUUUUGGUCUUCAACGAGGAAUUCCUAGUAAACGCAAGUCAUCAACUUGCAUUGAUUACGUCCCUGCCCUUUGUACACACCGCCCGUCGCACCUACCGAUUGAAUGGUCCGGUGAAGCCUCCGGAUUGGCGCGCACCUCGGUGCCGCCGAGAAGUUGGCUAAACCUUACCAUUUAGAGGAAGGUGAAGUCGUAACA
This 315-nucleotide ribosomal RNA is filed under the name uncultured eukaryote. Its description in RNAcentral is "partial 18S ribosomal RNA". It matches the Rfam family "Eukaryotic small subunit ribosomal RNA", at positions 1470 to 1796 of the family's 1831-position model. The record is from RNAcentral.